Long non-coding RNA from Gossypium raimondii (Peruvian cotton), 1137 nucleotides. RefSeq lists it as uncharacterized. The transcript has 6 exons. The record is from RefSeq and is a predicted model, not a curated record. Lineage: Eukaryota; Viridiplantae; Streptophyta; Magnoliopsida; Malvales; Malvaceae.
ACAAAUUCAAGAUCUAAUCUAAAUUACUAUUUUAAUUACUGUUGUUCUAAAAAAAAAGUAGUAGUGUUUAUAAUUUUAAACUGUAUUUUAAAUUCACCUAAAAUUUGUUGAAUUUGUUUUUGAUUCCCAUAUUGGUUUCAUAUACUUAUGUCCUUAAUAUUGCAGUUGCUGACCUCGUAUUGAGAAAAAUAUUUUAUAUAAUCUCUCUUCAAAUUAGCAUUUAUGCGUUGUGUGCUCAAAAGGCAUGGAUCUUUUAUCUUAUCUGGCUGUUACUUAGUGAGAUAAACUACGUAUGCUUCUACUCUUCAGCUUCUAGUAUGUCUCCGCAUGUUAAUGCGUAGGUGUUUGUGAGAACAUCAGCAAAGAUGAUAUUCAAAAGCUGUUUCCUAGUGAGGUUCUUCCUGAAUUAGAAAGACUGUUGACACUUUUGCUGCAAAAGUUUCAAAGAGAAUGGCGUGCAGAUGUACACAUGGAUAAGGUUUCUUUGCCACGCUUAAAGACAAUGGCUUGGAAUUUGCCAUGGAUGCCUUUAUGUUACAGAUUGGAGAUUUUCACAUGUAUGGAAUUGGCUCCAAAAUGAUAUGCAGUGUCCACAAGAGUCGGAUUUGUCAUUCCAAUUAGCCAAAGAAACACUGGAUACAAUGCUGAAGUCUGUGUACAGUAUAAGAGAUCAGUUGUCGAAUAUGGGUGAGACAUAAAAUGGACUUUUCUGCCUGGAAAUCAAUGCAAUGUAAUUUACCGUUUCUACACAUAAAAUGGUGCAGGCAAACUACUUCCCUCAAAAUCAACUGCCUUUUUUUUAAAAAAAAAAAAAAACCUGCGUAUGUGAAGAAAGCAGCGAAUCAUGUUGCGUUGACUUUUCAUUUUCCCCUAAACUUUAAACUCUCCGUCAAACAACCGGUUAACUCCUGGAAUCUUGCGGUUGCUCAAGCUUGAAAAGUCACUUGGCAAAGAAGCCAUGAAUAAAUUUAGCAACCUCGGAAUCGAGGGUUUCGAAAAGAUUUUCUCAUCUGAUAAGCUCAGUCAAGGCAGCAGGCUUCAAAGUAUCACAACAUUGGCUUUGCUUGCGGAGGCAGUUUCAGAUUCACAAGCCAAGUGUGCCGCUCUCAUCACUGAAUCAUCUAAUUCAGAGUCUUC